AACGAACGCUGGCGGCAUGCCUAACACAUGCAAGUCGAACGGGAAGCGAGACUUCGGUUUCGUGGAGAGUGGCGCACGGGUGAGUAACGCGUGGGGACCUGCCGAUGGGUACGGAAUAACGGUUGGAAACGGCCGCUAAUACCGUAUACGCCCCGAGGGGGAAAGAUUUAUCGCCCAUUGAGGGUCCCGCGUCCGAUUAGUUAGUUGGUGAGGUAACGGCUCACCAAGGCGACGAUCGGUAGCUGGUCUGAGAGGAUGAUCAGCCACACUGGGACUGAGACACGGCCCAG
This 290-nucleotide ribosomal RNA is filed under the name uncultured bacterium. RNAcentral describes it as "partial 16S ribosomal RNA". It matches the Rfam family "Bacterial small subunit ribosomal RNA", at positions 29 to 334 of the family's 1533-position model. The record is from RNAcentral.